Non-coding RNA from Triticum aestivum (bread wheat), 105 nucleotides. The record is from Rfam. NCBI's taxonomy places the organism in Eukaryota, Viridiplantae, Streptophyta, Magnoliopsida, Poales, Poaceae.
UCCGAAAAUACUUGUCAUCAAAAUGGAUAAAAAGAGAUGUAUCUAGAACUAAAAUAUGUCUAGAUAGAUUCUCUUUUAUUCAUUUUGAUGACAAGUAUUUCCGGA